This 83-nucleotide transfer RNA is filed under the name Rhizobium sp. Leaf306. It matches the Rfam family "tRNA". From Rfam's summary of the family: Transfer RNA (tRNA) molecules are approximately 80 nucleotides in length. Their secondary structure includes four short double-helical elements and three loops (D, anti-codon, and T loops). Further hydrogen bonds mediate the characteristic L-shaped molecular structure. tRNAs have two regions of fundamental functional importance: the anti-codon, which is responsible for specific mRNA codon recognition, and the 3' end, to which the tRNAs corresponding amino acid is attached (by aminoacyl-tRNA synthetases). tRNAs cope with the degeneracy of the genetic code in two manners: having more than one tRNA (with a specific anti-codon) for a particular amino acid; and 'wobble' base-pairing, i.e. permitting non-standard base-pairing at the 3rd anti-codon position. Lineage: Bacteria; Pseudomonadati; Pseudomonadota; Alphaproteobacteria; Hyphomicrobiales; Rhizobiaceae. The record is from Rfam by way of RNAcentral.
GCGGACGUGGCGAAAUUGGUAGACGCAGCAGACUUAAAAUCUGCCGACCUCAGGUCUUACGGGUUCGACCCCCGUCGUCCGCA